Brachypodium distachyon (stiff brome) is the source of this 4821-nucleotide RNA transcript. RefSeq lists it as uncharacterized. Lineage: Eukaryota; Viridiplantae; Streptophyta; Magnoliopsida; Poales; Poaceae. The record is from RefSeq and is a predicted model, not a curated record. The transcript is spliced from 6 exons.
AAGACCUCCGUCUUCCUCCUGGUUCCAACUCCAAUUCCCCACCAAAACCCCCAUUCCCGGACCGCACCACCACAUCAUGAAUCCGCCUCCGCCUCCGCAGCCCAGCGAUCCCUCGCCGCCGGCGCUAUUGGACGACCUCAUCAUCGAGAUACUCAUCCGACUCCCGCCGGACGAGCCGGAGCACCUCUUCCACGCCUCCCUCGUCUGCAAACUCUGGAACCACCUCCUCUCCGGCCGCGCCUUCCUCCGCCGCUACGGCGAAUUCCGUCGAGCACCUCCCUUUCUGGGAUUCUUCCAUAACAGGUUCGGCCUCGCCUGCUUCGUCCCCACCACGUCUUUCCGCCUUCCGGACUCCGACCUGGCGAACUGCUCCGUGCUCGACUGUCGCCAUGGCCGCGUUCUCCUCCAGGACUGCAGCUCCAGGGACUUGCUCCAGAUCUGGGACCCCAUGACGGGGGAGAAGCAGCACGUGCGCCUCCCCAGCAUCCCGACCACGACGAGCUUCUACAAAGCGGCGGUGUUCUGCGCCACGCCCGACUGCGACCACCUUAGCUGCCAUGGGGGUCCUUUCCUAGUGGCCUUUGUCACCACCGACCCCCAAGAUGGUGCGCCCGCGCAAGCCUGCCUCUACUCUUCGGAGACUGGUGUAUGGAGUGCGCCGUCCUAUCUGCAGCUCGAUUACUACGUUGAUACGCUGCCCCCUGUGCAAGUAGGAGACACUCUCUACUUCACCUGUGAGUCUAGAGAUAUGAUCCUGUGCUAUGACUUGGGUGGUGAUCGGGACCUAUCAGCGAUCGACGUGCCGGACAUUUAUCAGGAUGGCAUUGCUCUCAUGCUGAUGGAGGACGGUGCACUUGGGUUUGCUGGCCUUCACACAGUCGCCAUCCACCUGUGGUCGCUGAAGAGUCCUGAAAGAGUUGCAGCGUGGGAAAAACAGAGGGUUAUCAAUCUCGAGAUGCUUCCCCAUUGUGACCUGAGAGCGCCAAUGUAUUACUUGCUCGGCAUUGCCCAGGACUGCAUUUCAGAUAACAUUUUUGUAGAAACAGAUGCCGGUGUCUUCAUGAUCGAGCUCAAAUCAGAGCGGGCAGUAAAGGUGUGCGAGAGGGGCUGCUUAUACGUUAUCUUUCCUUACAUAGGCUUUUGCACUCCAGGUCAUGCUAGAAGACUUCCAGUUGCAGCAACUACCCAAUGUUCUGCUAUUGAGCCGCUCAUUGAGAGUACCCAACAAGUUUCAUUGAACUGAAAGAUGCAGGCGUUCUGAUCAAUUAGGAAGCGGGGGGAGAUCUGGAGAUGUUUGCCGCAAGCGCUUGUUUUGGGGAACUAUGGAGAUGUUUGAGUUUCGGUUUCACCCAUCAACUAUAUUACUGUGUCUCAUUUUCGGGGAAAAAAUAAAUCUGGAGUUGUUACAGACGUGAAGUUCUCCCUACUAGAACAUUACAGUACUAGAAUUGCUCUAUUAGAUUAGAAUGUAUUGACCAUCACAGAACAGCAUGCAUUGGAAUUUGGAUCUCAUCGUGCCUAUCCAGUACCCUUUACCUGAUUUGGCUGCCAACCCCUUUGGUAAUAAGGAAAUUAUGACGCGCGACACGCUGCUGCGCAGGCUGCUGCUGUGCGCGAACCGCUGCUGCCGCUGCUGUGCUACCCGGCUGCUGCAUGAGCUAGCUAGCUUCUGCUGCGUUACAUGCUGCUGCCUGCUACUCUAGCUGCAUGUGUGCAUUUUUUUCUAUUUUUUUCUAUGAAAAUUAUAGCGUAAAAUGUACCGCAGGUCCUAUAACUAUUGGAGGUAUGUCAAGUGAGUCCUAAUUCUUUAAAAGUGCAUAUCUGCACCCCAAUUCUUUUUAAGUUGUUCACUCGUGGUCCUAAAUUAGGGCGAGCCGCUGCCGACAGGCCAGGUGGCAAGUUCUGCGCCACGCCCGACUGCGACCACCUUAGCUGCCAUGGAGGUCCUUUCCUAAUUGCCUUUGUCGCCAAGGGUGCGUGCGCCUGCCUCUAUCUUCGGAGACUGGUGUAUGGAGUGCGCCGUCCUAUCUGCGGCUCGGUGACUCCUACCUUGAUAGGCGCCCCGCCGUCCAAGUGGGAGACACACUCUACUUCACCUGUGACUCUAGCGGAAUAAUCCUGCGCUAUGAUUUGGCCAUCCAAGAGACUCUGUACAUCACUUGAUUGGCAUUGCCAAGGGCCGCACUUCCGAUAUCAUUUUUGUGACCACAGAUGUUGGUGUCUUCAUGAUUGAGCUCAAAUCAGAGCGGGCGACAAAGGUGUAUGAUAGGGACGACACCUCCCUCAAUAUCUUUCCUUACAUGAGCUUCUGCACUCCAGGUAGAAUUAUGCUCUUUGGUAAGGAGUUUGCCAUUCGAGAACUCGGGUGCUGGCCCAGUGGUGGGAGCACAUCGUAGUAACAUCUCCAUGCCGGUCUGAGUCCAGAGUUUCAAACCAUGUCGGAGUUAACCUUGCUGGUUAUUCCUUGGUAGAAUAAUUAGUUUCUCUUGUUGGUUCUUUCCGAAUACAAUGCUAAGGAGGUUUUUCCCCUGCUGGUCUUGUUUUUCAUCAAGUGUUUUGCAUUAACCUCUUAUCAGUUCUACUAACAUCUCAGGCCCUCAACUUGUUGCUAUAUGUGGCUAGUUCUAAGAUGGAUGACAGGCCACAUGUUCAAUCAGUUAUGAGUGCGUGCUGUCAGAUAUCUGUUUUCUGUAGACUUAUAAACAAUGAUAUGUGCUCUAGUACUCCUUCGAGCUUGAAUGGUGUUGCCGGUUUGCAUGCUUGCAGUAGUUUGCAAAAUAUUCCUGAUUUACAAAUUACAAACUAGUACCAAAAUUAAAAUAAAAGGGAAUUUGUGCCAGUGUUUCUAGCUGGAGACUUGUUGAUAUUUCUAGUGUGAGUCCAAGCUGCCAACUGGCUGAUAUAAUGCAAAUUCUAGUACCCCCUUCAGGCUUGAGUGGUGUUGCCGGUUUGCAUGCUUGCAGUACUUCGCAAAAUAUUCCUGAUUUACAGAUUACAACUAAGGAGAAGUUCCAAAAUUAAAAUAAAAGGGAGUUUGUGCUAGUGUCUCUUGCAGGAGACUUGUUGAUAUUUCUAGUGUGAGCCAAAGCUGCCGACUGCUCAUAUAAUGCAAGUGCUACUUCCACAGGCUGAACCAGGGAAAGAGGAGAUCACACCGAACUUCAGGCACCACCGAAUCAGUUACUAUUUAUUGGACAAAUUCAAACCACGCUGCACCAAGAUUUGCAAUCCGAGAACAACCAGGGAGAGAUAAAGGAUAGCAGUUUGUGGAGCCUUUCAGUAGUAUACAUAUCCUAAUUUGUUUAGAGUUUAUUUCUUUCCUUUUAUUUUUAUUCUGAAGCCUUUGUCUUUUUUCCCUUUGUUCUACGUGUUUAGCUAGCAUUCCUAAUCUUGGUCUAUUUGGUGUUGCGUCCCUUGAGGCCAGGUUUAAUGCUGAGGUGUGGUUACUACUUCAGGGAGUCUGAACUUUUUUUUGGAAUUUAAUGAAAAAAACGUCUGUCGGGGGCUACCAAAUACUGCAUGUGUUUUCAGGUUUUCCAUCUAAGGUUUCUGGGUGUUGAUGCAAUCUAGGAGUAAUUGUUCCUGUCAUUUGUCUACGAACCUACAUGGUUCGUCUUCUUGGUUGCUGUGAUCUGUUGAGAAUCCGAGAUUACAGACUGGGAGUUCUUUCGGCGCCUUAACUACUUUGGUCUGCUAGACUAGGAUUGCACUAGGUUACCUUAGUUUCAGGAUUCUUUUGUUGGGACAGAAAUUAAUACGUUAAUUUUGUUUGCUGGACCUUGUCUUUGGAGCAACAUACGCACACAUAUAUAUGCUACCUUGUUACUAGCUGCUGCCGUAGUAAACACAUGCUAGUAUUACUGCUUCGUCAUUCAGAAUAAUUUCUAGGUGCUAUAUAUAUGUGCUAUUGAAAGGAGGAUUCAGUGAGCUUGCAUCUGUUGUUUAGUGUACCUUGAAAGAGUGGACAAUCCAGUGACUCAUCACCCGUUUGAGUUCCAUCAAGCGGACAUUGAAUCUCGAGCAACAAACAUGCUGCUCCAGUCUGUUUGAUUGCUAUUGCUUAAUAGUUUUUUUGUGAUAUAUAAAUACCACUGUUGACUUUGCCGUUGGCCUGAACUUCAGUUUUCUUUCCAUGUUGAUCAUCCUUUUGCUAAAUACCUCAUGAGGACUUGUGACGUUAAAUAUGUGAAUCUGGGAAGCAGUUUUGCUUUCCUGGCAUGACAAACUCUUAUGAUUUCAGAAUUGGCGUAUCUCUUGUUUGUGCAAUUGCUGAGUAAUAACAUGUUUAAAUUUUACUCUCUGCAUUUCAGGUCGUGCUAGCAGACUGCCAGCUCCAGCAACGACCCAAUGUUCUACUACUGAGCUGCUCCUUGAGAGGACCUAACAAGAAGGGUGGCAAAAGAAACUUUGGCAGACAUUCUGGUUUGUUCAGACAGACACUAAAAGAAAUAAUCUCUGGGGUUCGUUGAACUGAAAGGUGCAGGCGUUCUGAUCAUUUAAUAAGCUGAUGGUGGUAGUUUACCUGACUGUCGUUUUGGUGGAGAUCUCGAGAUGUUACGCGCAAGCUCUUGUUUUGGGGAAAUAUGGAGAUGUUUGUGUUUCAACCAUGAACUUACCCCGUCUCGUUUUCGGGGAGAUUCUGGGAGUUGUUUCAAACUUUAAGUUCGCCCUACUAGAACAUUACCGUACUAGAAUUGCUCGAUUAGAUCAGUUUGCAUUAACCAUGACAGAACAGCAUGCAUGCUUUAUUCACUUGUAAGACGAUAUGUGGAAUCUCGUGAUAACUUAUUUGGUGGUUCUCUACGGUAUGAGGCACUUACA